CGGUUAAAAAGCUCGUAGUUGGAUCUCGGCGGGCAGGGGGUGGUUCGCUCUUCAGCGCUACUGCCCCGCUUUGCCCGUGUGAUUGGCGGAGGUUUCGGGGUGCUCUUCGUUGAGUGACUCGGAGCGCCGUCAGGUUUACUUUGAAAAAAUUAGAGUGCUCAAAGCAGGCUUUUCACGCUUGAAUAUUCGUGCAUGGAAUAAUGGAAUAGGAACUCGUUUCUAUUUUGUUGGUUUUCGGAAAUCGAGUUAAUGAUUAACAGGGACAAUUGGGGGCAUUAGUAUUCAGACGACAGAGGUGAAAUUCUUGGACCGUCUGAAGACUGACUACUGCGAAAGCAUUUGCCAAGAGUGUUUUCAUUAAUCAAGAACGAAAGUUAGAGGUUCGAAGGCGAUCAGAUACCGCCCUAGUUCUAACCAUAAACGAUGCCAGCUAGCGAUCUGCCGAGUUUUUUUUGUAGGCUCCGCAGGAAGCUUUCGGGAAACCAAAGCUUUUGGGUUCCGGGGGAAGUAUGGUUGCAAAGCUGAAACUUAAAGGAAUUGACGGAAGGGCACCACCAGGAGUGGAGCCUGCGGCUUAAUUUGACUCAACACGGGAAAUCUCACCAGGCCCGGACACUG
RNAcentral lists this ribosomal RNA (618 nucleotides) under uncultured marine eukaryote. Its description in RNAcentral is "SSU rRNA". It matches the Rfam family "Eukaryotic small subunit ribosomal RNA", at positions 616 to 1233 of the family's 1831-position model. The record is from RNAcentral.